GAAUUGGCGCGGGCCCGCACAAGCGGUGGAGCAUGUGGUUUAAUUCGAUGCAACGCGAAGAACCUUACCUACUCUUGACAUCCAGAGAACUUUCCAGAGAUGGAUUGGUGCCUUCGGGAACUCUGAGACAGGUGCUGCAUGGCUGUCGUCAGCUCGUGUUGUGAAAUGUUGGGUUAAGUCCCGCAACGAGCGCAACCCUUAUCCUUUGUUGCCAGCGGUUCGGCCGGGAACUCAAAGGAGACUGCCAGUGAUAAACUGGAGGAAGGUGGGGAUGACGUCAAGUCAUCAUGGCCCUUACGAGUAGGGCUACACACGUGCUACAAUGGCGCAUACAAAGAGAAGCGACCUCGCGAGAGCAAGCGGACCUCAUAAAGUGCGUCGUAGUCCGGAUUGGAGUCUGCAACUCGACUCCAUGAAGUCGGAAUCGCUAGUAAUCGUAGAUCAGAAUGCUACGGUGAAUACGUUCCCGGGCCUUGUACACAC
This 483-nucleotide ribosomal RNA is filed under the name uncultured bacterium. RNAcentral's name for it is "bacterial SSU rRNA". It matches the Rfam family "Bacterial small subunit ribosomal RNA", at positions 907 to 1390 of the family's 1533-position model. The record is from RNAcentral.